AUUAAACGCUGGCGGCAUGCCUUACACAUGCAAGUCGAACGGCAGCACGGGGGCAACCCUGGUGGCGAGUGGCGGACGGGUGAGUAAAGCAUCGGAACGUAUCCUGGAGUGGGGGAUAACGUAGCGAAAGUUACGCUAAUACCGCAUAUUCUGUGAGCAGGAAAGCAGGGGAUCGCAAGACCUUGCGCUCUGGGAGCGGCCGAUGUCGGAUUAGCUAGUUGGUGGGGUAGAGGCCUACCAAGGCGACGAUCAGUAGCCGGCCUGAGAGGGUGAACGGCCACACUGGGACUGAGACACGGCCCAGACUCCUACGGGAGGCAGCAGUGGGGAAUAUUGCGCAAUGGGGGAAACCCUGACGCAGCGACGCCGCGUGAGCGAAGAAGGCCUUAGGGUCGUAAAGCUCUGUUUUAGGGACGAAUGUCGAGAGCAGUAAUAUGGUUCUCGAAUGAACGGUACCCUAAGAGGAAAGCCCCGGACUAACUACGUGCCCAAGCAGGCCGCGGUUAACG
This 509-nucleotide ribosomal RNA is filed under the name uncultured bacterium. RNAcentral's name for it is "bacterial SSU rRNA". It matches the Rfam family "Bacterial small subunit ribosomal RNA", at positions 29 to 527 of the family's 1533-position model. The record is from RNAcentral.